GUGGUAAUGCCGGAUGUUCCACAUGAUCGCAUGUGAUUGUGGGAAAGAUUUCAUCGGCGUGGGAUGGGGUCGCGUCCUAUCAGCUUGUUGGUGAGGUAACGGCUCACCAAGGCUUCGACGGGUAGCCGGCCUGAGAGGGCGACCGGCCACAUUGGGACUGAGAUACGGCCCAGACUCCUACGGGAGGCAGCAGUGGGGAAUAUUGCACAAUGGGCGCAAGCCUGAUGCAGCGACGCCGCGUGAGGGAUGGAGGCCUUCGGGUUGUAAACCUCUUUUGUUUGGGAGCAAGCCUUCGGGUGAGUGUACCUUUCGAAUAAGCGCCGGCUAACUACGUGCCAGCAGCCGCGGUAAUACGUAGGGCGCAAGCGUUAUCCGGAUUUAUUGGGCGUAAAGGGCUCGUAGGCGGCUCGUCGCGUCCGGUGUGAAAGUCCAUCGCUUAACGGUGGAUCUGCGCCGGGUACGGGCGGGCUGGAGUGCGGUAGGGGAGACUGGAAUUCCCGGUGUAACGGUGGAAUGUGUAGAUAUCGGAAAAGAACACCA
RNAcentral lists this ribosomal RNA (540 nucleotides) under Bifidobacterium bifidum. RNAcentral describes it as "bacterial SSU rRNA". It matches the Rfam family "Bacterial small subunit ribosomal RNA", at positions 160 to 711 of the family's 1533-position model. The record is from RNAcentral. Lineage: Bacteria; Bacillati; Actinomycetota; Actinomycetes; Bifidobacteriales; Bifidobacteriaceae.